GUACCACAUCCAAGGAAGGCAGCAGGCGCGCAAAUUACCCACUCCCGGAACGGGGAGGUAGUGACGAAAAAUAACGAUACGGGACUCAUCCGAGGCCCCGUAAUCGGAAUGAGUACACUUUAAAUCCUUUAACGAGGAUCCAUUGGAGGGCAAGUCUGGUGUCAGCAGCCGCGGUAAUUCCAGCUCCAAUAGCGUAUAUUAAAGUUGUUGCGGUUAAAAAGCUCGUAGUUGAAUCUGUGUGUCACGCUGUCGGUUCACCGCUCGCGGUGUUUAACUGAUACGCUCGUGACACGUCCUACCGGUGGACUUAGCUCCGGUGCAGCGUAUGGUGCGGGCGGAGCGGUCCUACUUUAAUCCCAUCGCGGUGCUCUUUACCGAGUGUCGAGGUGGGCCGGUACGUUUACUUUGAACAAAUUAGAGUGCUUAAAGCAGGCAAUUUUCGUCUGAAUACUGUGUGCAUGGAAUAAUGGAAUAGGACCUCGGUUCUAUUUUGUUGGUUUUCGGAACCCCGAGGUAAUGAUUAAUAGGGACAGAUGGGGGCAUUCGUAUUGCGACGUUAGAGGUGAA
Molecule: ribosomal RNA, 567 nt
Filed under: Heptascelio sp. OSUC 420732
Lineage: Eukaryota; Metazoa; Arthropoda; Insecta; Hymenoptera; Scelionidae
Description: SSU rRNA
Rfam family: Eukaryotic small subunit ribosomal RNA
Source: RNAcentral